GAUGAACGCUGGCGGCGUGCCUAACACAUGCAAGUCGAGCGAUUCUCUUCGGAGAAGAGCGGCGGACGGGUGAGUAACGCGUGGGUAACCUGCCCUGUACACACGGAUAACAUACCGAAAGGUAUGCUAAUACGAGAUAAUAUACUUUUAUCGCAUGGUAGAAGUAUCAAAGCUUUUGCGGUACAGGAUGGACCCGCGUCUGAUUAACUAGUUGGUAAGGUAACGGCUUACCAAGGCGACGAUCAGUAGCCGACCUGAGAGGGUGAUCGGCCACAUUGGAACUGAGACACGGUCCAAACUCCUACGGGAGGCAGCAGUGGGGAAUAUUGCACAAUGGGCGAAAGCCUGAUGCAGCAACGCCGCGUGAGCGAUGAAGGCCUUCGGGUCGUAAAGCUCUGUCCUCAAGGAAGAUAAUGACGGUACUUGAGGAGGAAGCCCCGGCUAACUACGUG
Molecule: ribosomal RNA, 452 nt
Filed under: uncultured bacterium
Lineage: Bacteria
Description: bacterial SSU rRNA
Rfam family: Bacterial small subunit ribosomal RNA
Source: RNAcentral